This 65-nucleotide small RNA is filed under the name Arabidopsis thaliana (thale cress). RNAcentral's name for it is "ATSL082440". The record is from RNAcentral. Lineage: Eukaryota; Viridiplantae; Streptophyta; Magnoliopsida; Brassicales; Brassicaceae.
UUUUAAUGGUCAAAGUUUUUUCAAGAACUUAAAUUAUCACCAGAAGUUGAGAAAAUAAAUAUAGU